AUUAUUCGUCCUAAAAUAAAUUUAGUUAAACAUAUUAAUGAACGAAAAGCAAGAUAAAUUCAUGGAAGACAUCACCCAAUUUAUUGACGGAAUGUGAUUAAAGUUUUGGCAACGUGAAUAAGCCGACUUUGUGUAACUGCCUCCUCAAUGUUUUUCCUCCCAACCGGCAAUUUGUGCAUGUAAUUUUCAGCAGCCAGCAACUUAAUCUUCCACCCAGAAGCCGAAAUUUUCGUGUGUGUGGAGAUGAAUUUCAGCAGCCCCAGCCUUAUUAAUUCAACUGUCUUAUUUGCUUCGAUUUCCGUGCGUAUAUAAAUAAAAUCUAGCAGCCGCUAAUUAACUCCAAAAAAGGGACUCCCUUGUUUGCUGUGAGUGUAUAUAAUAAUCUUCUUGGCUUCCCUCAAAUUCUAUUCUCUUUUCUCUCGAUUUUCUGUGAUGAAUCAAUUGGAGCAGUAAUAAUUUACUCCCUAAAGUUGCAGUCCAA
Molecule: long non-coding RNA, 481 nt
Filed under: Olea europaea (common olive)
Lineage: Eukaryota; Viridiplantae; Streptophyta; Magnoliopsida; Lamiales; Oleaceae
Description: long non-coding RNA (OEUR_LNC013550)
Source: RNAcentral